Long non-coding RNA from Mus musculus (house mouse), 4691 nucleotides. RefSeq annotates it as predicted gene, 40346. The transcript has 2 exons. NCBI's taxonomy places the organism in Eukaryota, Metazoa, Chordata, Mammalia, Rodentia, Muridae. The record is from RefSeq and is a predicted model, not a curated record.
GUCUCCUCCCCUCCCCCCUGCCUCGCCCCAGCCUCUCCCGACACCGCGUUCCUCGGCGUGGAAGGCAUGCUCCAGGGGCAUGUUGUCUUGUCACGACUAUAGGGUCACCUCUCCAUCUCACUCCUUGGAGGGGUUGGGGACGGGGGCUCAUGCACCCGAGUGGUGACGCGGCCUCUUUCCCAGCCUCUCCGAGUUCGGGGCUGGGGCGGGGUCUUGCGUGGCUGGUUUCUGCUGUGGGGUGGGGGUCUCUCUGUGACCCUGAAUGUCCAGAGACCUGAGUUGGGGGCCGUGCGCAUCCUUUGUGCCCCACUUCCCCUCCUCCCAGUUUAGGCGUGGGGGCGGGGGGACCGCAUGGAUGCGGUUCCUCUUUCUCUCCCUGGUGUCUGGGCGGCGCCUUCCCCAUUCACUCAGCAGGUCUCCCAGUUUGCCGCCUCCCCACUCCAUCACCCCCCCCCCCAAUCUUUCCCACUGACACAUCCUUUAAAGACGUUUCGGGAAGAAAAAAAAUGUAGGACCCCCUCUCCUAAAAGAAAAAAGAAAAAAAAACCCAGCCUCAAUGAUGUAAAAUCGAAACCACCUUUCUCACGUUUUUUUUUUUGUUUUUUUUUUUUUUAACAAAAGGCUUCCUUUUAACCAUUCCCCAAAGCAAGUCUGUUAGGAAGGGAGGGAUAUGUGUGUUGCUGGCAUUCCCAUUCAUGGCCCUCUAUAUAGCAUCUUCAUUUUUCAUUUUAUUUAUUUUCCAUUUCAAAGGGUUAACUAUAAUGCCUUUGAAUGUUAACUGACUGAGAUAUGCAGUUUCUCUUUUAAUUGCAGGCACGAGUCUGCAGAAAUUCGUUUGAGUGUAAAAAAAUAUUCUGUCUGAUCUGAUACUGCAAACAAAGCGGUGGUGGGAGGCAGUAUCAAGUCAUUCCAGAAGAUUCUGCAUUUGUCAUAUUGCAGAGAGCCUAGACUGGGUGGAGGCUGGGAGGAUUUAUUUUAAAGGGGAAAAAGUCUUUUUAAAAGAAUUUUUUUUUUUUUUGUUAAAUGUAUCCGAGGCUUUUUUUCUUCUGACCUAAUGUAUCCUCGUUCUGACGAGAAGGGAAUACUGUCGCAUUUUUGUCUGAGAUGCAAAAUCCUAACUAGUUGCACCAUUUUGUCAGUUACUCUCAAUUUAUUAAUGAAUUGGGGACCAGUUUGCCAGCGGGGGUGGGGGGGAGGUGCUCAAUAUUCCAAAAUUCAGUAGAAAAAUUACUAUUACAGUUUUCAAAAAUUAAUAAUUGGGUUUUCCACUCUGUUAAUAUCUAACUUCCUAUCUUAUGUAACAAAGGUUGUUAAAUACAUCUCUGGUGUAAAGUGGGUGCUGGAGUGCCCCCUCCCUGUUAAACCUUACAAAUGAAACCCGGAGAGAGAGAGAGAGAGAGACUAUUUAAUUUUAAAUGAUUUUUUUUCUUUGUUUUUUCAAAAGGCCAGGUGCUUAUCCUUUCCUAAUUAAAUAAGCUACAGAUGUUUUUUGUUUUACAAAAAAUAAUUGGUUUUAAAACCAGAAAUACUAUUGUAUUAGUGUGUUGUUACAGUUGCCUUUUUUAAAUAACAGUUAAACCAUUAAAGGAUACAAACUGGACUCUCAGUAGGUCACUAAUGCUGGAAAUGUCUUCAGUUUGUGAUAUCUAGACUCUAAUUUUCCCCUAUUUCUAGUUCCACAGGAGAGCGAGUGACCUCGCACCUAUAUCCAUAGCAACCCAGUGAUGUCACACACAAUGACACAGAGGCUGCAAUGCACCUAAGGGCUGGUAGGGAGUUUUCAGAUGGCAUUUGUCCAAGAAUUGCCAGCCAUGUGUGUGUAAGCCAGAGGACCGCUUGCAGGUGUCGGUUGUCUGUCUACCGUGUAGGUCUGGGGAAUUGAACUCAGGUCAUGAGGCUUGCCGACAAGCAUCUUCACCUGCUGAGCCAUCUCACCAGCCCUUACAUACUUUAUCCACCCCCCAAAUAAUUGGGAGAAAAUUUCUCAUCCGCUUCCUGAAUUCUUAGAGAUAAAGGAUAUGGUUUAAUAUGUAUGCUAUCAUUCUGUUCUGAUUAAAGGCAGCCCCCAGCAGCUGGAGUCCAUGUCUGAUGCUUCAGGGACUGUCAUUUAUGACGACUAAUUCUGUGUUGUCGAGAAGGAAGAAAAAUAGAUUGGGUUUUGUUUUUCCUGUCUCUUCCCCCCCCUUUUUUUUGAGACAGGUUCUCACUGUGUAGACCAAGCUGGCCUUGAACUCAGCCACCUGUUUUCAGCCCUUGUUUGCCCAGUGCCGGAAUUACUGGACAGAUAUAUCACAUCCAACUGAUAGAUACCUGGUUUGUUUUGUUUUGUUUUGUUUUUAGAUAAAUUUCACAGCAUAUUAACUUAGCCCAAUCCAGUAAGAGAACUUAACACUCACAACUUAAUGGCACUUGGUAUUUCACACCGCCUUAGGCAGCCAUUGCCCCCAGUUCAAAAAAUGAAAGCUGGGUGUGGCUUGUGAGGUAGUCAGGAACAUACAGGAGUACUUAAACCUGCCAAAAGGGACUGAGACAAGGCCUUUGUUUAAAACGGUGCUGGUCUGCAGUUACUGGGUUUCAGAGUGAGAUUGCCUCUGUGCGCCCCCUCCCCCAAGUCAUUGGUAAUUGGUUGCCCUUUGGUCUUUAUUUUUGGCGUCUGACUCUUUCAUAGAGCAGAGGAAGGGACUUGGCUUCUAGCUAGGUUUGUGUUUUCAUUUAAAGAGUCAGUUCAUAAAAGCCAUAUGAUGUUCACCUAAACAAACUAGCAAUUCAUCUGAAAUCCGAACAAACUGUUAAAACCUUGGGAGGUUGUGAAAACAUGGCUGGUGCUCCUCAGAGCCCAAGGCCAACUCUUGUGAAUGACUUCCCUGCUGUGUGAUAGUAGGUGCCUCAUGAGCACUCCCCAGGCAGUGACUGAGCCUGCUGAGCUGUUGAAACUUGCCAGAAGGUAGGCAAUGGGAGGUAGGGAACGCAGCUACAAGCUGGCCCUGUGGCUGUGGGUUCAGGAGAGAGUUUCUCCUCCUCUUACUCACCUGCAGUCCUACCAACUGCCACCCUUUAUCUGACUGGACAUCUGAUUCUCUAUUCCUACCAGUUUCAGAUUUUUUUUCUUUUUUUAAAUAUGUGUAUGAGUUUUGCCUUCAUGUAAGCUGUACCGGGUACAUGCAGUGCUCAGAAGAGGGUAUCGGAUGCCCUGGAUCAGGAGUCAGAGGUAGCUGUGAGCCACCAUGUAGGUGCUGGGAACCAGCCCAGGUCCAGUGAAAGCAGCAGUUGCUGUGACUUGCCAAGUGUCUUUCUGGCCCCUCUUUUUAAUUAGUUCAGAGAGAGGGUUUCAUGUAGCCCAGGCUGGCUUCAAAGUUGUUAUGUAGCUGAGGAUGCUCUUCCCCUGAUUCCCCUUCAAGUGCUAGCUAGGCAAGCUUCAUCUCCAACCCUGUUAUAGUCUCUAUUCUAAUCCAAAAGUGCACUGCAGCUGUCUUCAGACGCACCAGAAGAGGGCGUCACAUCUCAUUACAGAUGGUUGUGGGCCACCAUGUGGUUGCUGGGAUUUGAACUCAGGACCUUGGGGAGAGCAGGCAGUACUCUUAACCGCUGAGCCAUCUCUCCAGCGCUCUUUCUUAGUUUUGAGACCGAGUCUCACUGUGUAACCAAGGCUGCCGUCAAACGGGUGAUACUAUUAGAGGAGUCUCACUGCCUCAUACUUCUGUUCAUAUAACCCCCUGCAUUCUGUUUCCUCCGUUACUAAAUAGUCUGGUCUUACGAUGGAGGUACUGCCUGCCUUUUCCACCAUUUUAGGCUAUAAGCUAUAUACAGCUGCCUUAUGUAUGGCCUUUUCUUUCUUUUUUUUUUUUUUUGUCCUCAAAUUCUAUUUUAGGUAUCAGUUAUCACUUUGGUUAUGAAACUAUCAUCUGGUUGGCUUUUUAAAAAAAAAGAUUUUUAUUUUACUUAUUUAUAUGUAUGUGGGUAUGUGCAUGUGAGCUCAGGUGCCCACAGAGGCCAGAACCAAUGGAUUCUGAAUCUGGAGAGUGAGUGUGUGUGUGUGUGUGUGUGUGAGAGUCUAUGCUUAUUGGAACACACUGCAAUGGAGACUGGCCUUGGACUUGGGAUCCUCGGGCAUCUGGAGUGCUGGCAUGGCUAGCCUGUCUCAUUGCACUUAGAGUAUCCAGUAAUUUUAUAAUUGCAACAAGUGUAGACUCUUAACUAAAUACCUUUUUCUUUGCUAUGCCGGGGAAUUGAACAUAGGUCCUGGGUGCCAUGCAUGUGCUAAAACUGAGAUACAUGUUCAUUCCUCUUGCUUUUGAGACAAGUUCUCAAAAAUGUUAUCAGCAGGCCCUGCUUGAACUUGUAGUUGAACUAGAUUAUAAUCUGUACCACCAGGCUCACCUGCUACGUAGACCAUGCUGGCCUUGAACUCCAAUCUCUGCCUCCUGAGUUCUGGCAUUAAAGGCAUGCAGGGCUGCUGCGUGUGUGUCACCGUGCCUGGCCCUUUUCCUGUUAUGAUUAGUUUGCAAGGAAAUAGUAGGCUAGGUGGUAGUUUUCUGGAUUGAUUGAUUUGAUUGAGUCAGGUACCCGCUGAGUGGCUAGCAUGGUACCCACUGUGUAGCCCAGAUGGGCUGGGUGGUGGGGUUGCAGACAGCACCACUUCCAGCUCUCCUCUGUAAGGGGCUGGUGGAAGGUAAGCAGAUUGAUUGCCACCA